UACGUAGGGUGCAAGCGUUGUCCGGAAUUAUUGGGCGUAAAGAGCUCGUAGGCGGUUCGUCACGUCGGCUGUGAAAUCCCGAGGCUCAACCUCGGGUCUGCAGUCGAUACGGGCGGACUUGAGUACUGCAGGGGAGACUGGAAUUCCUGGUGUAGCGGUGAAAUGCGCAGAUAUCGGGAGGAACACCGGUGGCGAAGGCGGUUCUCUGGGCCUUACCUGACGCUGAGGAGCGAAAGCGUGGGGAGCGAACAGG
Molecule: ribosomal RNA, 253 nt
Filed under: uncultured bacterium
Lineage: Bacteria
Description: partial 16S ribosomal RNA
Rfam family: Bacterial small subunit ribosomal RNA
Source: RNAcentral